Small nucleolar RNA from Rhizoctonia solani, 100 nucleotides. It matches the Rfam family "Small nucleolar RNA Z13/snr52". From Rfam's summary of the family: Z13 or snr52 is a member of the C/D class of snoRNA which contain the C (UGAUGA) and D (CUGA) box motifs. Most of the members of the box C/D family function in directing site-specific 2'-O-methylation of substrate RNAs. NCBI's taxonomy places the organism in Eukaryota, Fungi, Basidiomycota, Agaricomycetes, Cantharellales, Ceratobasidiaceae. The record is from Rfam.
UAGUACCCAAUGAUGAAGCAUUUCGGAUGUAAAAUAAACUCUGUCCGAGAGCGCAAAAACCCAUGUGGAUAUUUCCGUUGCCUUCCUUCUGAGUCUUUUC